Zonotrichia leucophrys gambelii is the source of this 6993-nucleotide long non-coding RNA. RefSeq lists it as uncharacterized. NCBI's taxonomy places the organism in Eukaryota, Metazoa, Chordata, Aves, Passeriformes, Passerellidae. The record is from RefSeq and is a predicted model, not a curated record. The transcript has 5 exons.
GCAGCGUGGGUGUUUGCUUUGCCCUAGCAAAGGGAUUCCUGCCUGUGUCCUGCUGUGGAUCUGAUCCUCUGCAGGAACCCUGCAGGGCUGAUACCCAAACCACCUCCCUGCUCUGUGACUCAGCUCCCCACCGAUUUUACCGCUCUGAAGGUUAAAAAGAGGGAAGCAGCUGUUCCCACGCCUCAGCAGCACAAACACCUCGAGCCUUCAAACGCUCCUGAGAGGAAUCAGUGGGACAGCAGCGAGCGAGGGAGCGCUUGGGCCGCUGCCAAAAGCAGCGAGCCUCGAACGGAGCCGCCUCUUAUCUGGGCAAUCUCGGAGCGCUGCAGCCGUUUCGCAAGGAAAUAAAGAGGAAGGUUAUUCAAAAGUGUACUGAUGACAAAUUAUUUGGAUAAGUGACGCUCCAGCACGGAGCUCAGCUCUCCCUCGAUGUGAAAAGCACCCAUUGGAGCUGAAGAAGAGAAUAAUCCCAGAGCUGCUGGAGCUGGAUUUGCUGUUCAUUCACUCAUUCAUUCAUGCUCUGCUGGCCCCGUGGUGGCAGCUGCCACCCCACACUCUGAGUGCGUCUCACACUUUCCCCGCAGCCUUCUCGGGUGCUGGGGUGUAACACUUGGAGCCUUGGACAACAGCAAAACCAGUCAAUUAUGUUUGCACCCUGCCUGCCUUGAAAGCCCUGGAGUGUGUCUGGUGUGAGCACAGCCAGGGGAAUGCAGGAGCUCAUGAUAAAUUCCAAACAAAAGCACCAUUAUCCAUAUGGGACCUCGUGAGUGCUUCACGUACUCCAGCAAUUCCAAGCACUCCGUGUAUGGUUCUUACUCGGUUUUAACUCCAUUUCUUUGAGAUGCAAAUCAGAGGGAUUAUAUUCAGAAGCUGCAUCAGAAAGUCUUUAAUCCAAAUGGGCUAUAAGAUUUAUUUAGAAGAGCCAAAUGUCUUGUCUGGGACAGAAGCAACUGAGCUGAACUGAAACAGAUGGACAUAAAGGAAAUUAAGCAACUCUAAUGGUCUUAUCCAGAGUUUGAAAGUAUUUGGUUUUCCUAAAGCUCAAGCUCCUGGAAGCACGUGAUGAGACGGGAAGCUCAGGUUUCACUUCAAAACAGGCUUUGCAGUUCACUGAGAAAAACAAUAACCAUGUUUUUAUUCCUCCUGUGGACAGAACAAGGGCUGCCUUCCAAAUCCUGACUCCUUGGGCUUAUGUCAUCAGAGGAAAAGAUAUUGAAUGGGAGUUUUGGAGUCCUCAUUUUUACAGCAAUGUCAUCAUUUCAGCAGCCUGGAUUUGAGAUUUUGGGAAAUCUGAUGCUGGCAAUAGAGAUCCCAGGUCUCACCUAAGGCUGGGGUUUAACUGGGACACCAGCACUGCCAAGGUCACCUCCAGCAGUGCUGGAUGCAGCAAACCCAGCGUGCACAUCUUGGAUGCUGAUAAACCACUGGGCUGGAAACCUGGAGAGCUCAGGCUGUCCCCCAGGAUCAGGCGUGUCUCCACCUCUGCUGAGGUCAGGAGAUUCUCAGCUGGCAGAAAAAGCCUUCCCUGGAAUGUUUGGCUGUGUUUGGCCCUGGACAGUCUGCACAGACAGCAGGACAGAUAUGAGGACACGCUCCCUGCCAUCCCACCAGGGCAUUUCUGGGGGUAAAGAUGGUUUCUCUUGGGGAGGAAAGUUGAGGUUUGAGUUGCUUCUACCACCUGCAGCUUUCAGGUGCUAAAUAGUGACAAGGCUGAAUUCUUUGGGCUUCCUGAGGCUCUUGACCACUACUGAGUGGUCAAGGAGAUCCCAGACACAGUCUCAACCAAAGAAAUGCUUUUGCAGCUGAAACUCCUGAUAAAAACUGGGAGAAGUCUUUCUGCUUUCAAUGCAAAGCCAUCCCCUGCUUGGCUCUCCCAGGGAAGCAUCCAAUGCAGGGACAUUUCAAGUGUUUGUGCAUUUGCAAGUGGAUUAAAUAAAAGGUGAGAGAAUUGGGGACAAGCGGAGGGAGGGAGUGUGAGAAGGAGCUCAUCCAUUACCAUGCCGUGCACAAUGCAGGAGGUCUUGGCCUCCUGGUUUGAGUGCUUAUUCCCCAUAAAAUACAUCUGAGAGAAAUCAAUACAAGAGGCAUGCCAGAACUUAAAUCAAAGCACAAGGAAGCAGCGCUUGGUGGAUGGAAUGACCUUGCAGGGAGCUGUCAAAACUGAAGCCCCAGCCCUGUUGAGCACAGAACCUGCCAGGAAAAAACGCUGGAGUGAGGACUUGAGGCUGGCAUGUGCUGCCUUGGCAUGGCUUUCACUGUGAUCUCUGCAGUGGAAAGCACAUGGGUGAGAGAGGCUGGAUCAGUGGCAGGAGGGCAGAGUGCCAGGAGGCUCCUGGGGCAGCUGGGAGAGCUGAGGUGCUCUGUGCUGCCCCUUUGGGCUCCUCAAGUACCUCAGAGAUAAUAAGGCAGGGGUGGGAGCCAGCUUGGAGAUACAGAAAAUGCUCCUCACACCCCUGGCCGUGUGUGCCCUCAGUCCCUGUUGUCCCAGAGCAGGUGUCCAGCCCCACCAGCUCUGUGUCCUGCCCAGCUCAGCAGAGGAUGGAGAGCUGUGUGCAGCAUCCAGGACCCCUCCUGCCCUGUGGUUUCCUCCUGUUGGGCUCAGCCACCUCCCCAGGCAGGUGCCUGACCUUGGUGGCAGGUCACAGCGCCGUGCCACAGACAUCAUAAAUCUGCAGAGCUUUGCUGCAGCCAGGCUCCACCUCUGCAGACUGCAGGGCACAUGUUCCCAUGCUGGGAAAUCUGACCCCUCGGUAGCCUGAGAGACAGGAGAAGCCUGGCUUUGGUGUUUUGAAUAAGUGGCUUUUUAUCUGAAAUCCCUUUGGGAGCAUGAGCUCAGUAACCAAUGAAAUUAUAUCUGUUGUUUCAAGCAGUGAAGAAAACUUGGCUUGAUGUUUAUUGAGAUUUAUGGCUUCCCUUGAGCUUAAUUGUCUUUGGGAGCCCUGGAUCUUUUUAACGGUUCAGCUAAGUGGUACUAAGAAGGAUGGUAAUGGUUUGAGCAGUCUGCCCCCUUAGCAUAUCUCUUUCUCUCACACAAUUUGCUGAUAUUUGGGAAAUAGAGCUGAUACCCUCCCCUCCUGAGGUCACAGCUCUUCACUGGUGUGAAACUCCAAGAGGCUGAGCCAGGUGUGAAAAGCUCCCAGUGAGUGUUUGAAUGCUGAGGUGCUGACUUCCAUCAGCAGGGCUGUGCUGCAGGGAACAGGGGAGGAGAGCAGGUCUGUGCCCCCACUGGGGAGGGUCACCUUGUCCCCCUGCUUUGUCACCCCCUCCUGGAUGCUGGGAUUGGUCUUUCUUGAUCUUCCUGUUCUCCAUCAGCUGGGUGGUUUGGUGUAGGUGCUUCUCUGGUGCUCAGCCAUGCUGGCUUUUCCAUUCCCUCUGCUGGGGGCUCUGGACUGACUGCAGUUUGAGCUGCUCCUACCUAAGCCCAGCCCAGCAUCAUUUCCUGAGCAUCCAAGAGCUCAUCCACAGGUGGGGCUGGGUGUUGGGAUCAACCUGUGGAAUUGCCAUAAGGAGAACGCCUUCUGUUCUGCUCCUUGCACUGGUUUGAACUGGGAAGGGACCAUCUGGGCUGCAGGGAAGGAUUCUCCAGCCCAGUGCUCACCCUACAGGGACACAUCUCAGUGAUUUGUCCUUCAGGGGAGCUCCCUCAGCUCCGGAGGGCUCAACUGAGGAGCUUGUCAUUUGGAGGGGAACAUCACCCAUCACAUAUAAUCAUUCCUCACCUCUGGAUUUUCCCAUCCCUUAUGGGGUGACCCUGAUGGUUUGUUAUCUCUCCCCAGCCAUCCACCAGAGCCUGGCAGUGUGGGCAAUGACCUUCACCUAUUUCCUCACCUCCCUGAGAUGCUGUGGUCACUCAUGGCAGUGUGGGCAAUGACCUUCACAUAUUUCCUCACCUCCCUGAGAUGCUGUGGUCAUUCGUGGCACUGCUGUCCAGCCGAGGUAAUUACAGCAGCUCGUUAUGGUUCAGCAGGCACCUUCAUUAAUGAACCUCAGGUUUCAGAGGUGCCUAACUCUGAGCCAUUGGAAACCACAUCUGGCUGGAGCUCUGCAGCGUGUCUAAGCUUUCAGCUCAUCUCCCCCUGCCUAAGCGGUUUAGGAGGGGCAGUAAACAAAGUCUGUUUGGUUGGGGUUUGCGUGCUUUAAGGCAAAGAAAGCAAACACAGCCUGGCUGGGCUAAUCUCCUCUGCACAGAGCUGGGGCUGACAGCUCCUUCCUGGCUCAUGCCAGUGGGAUUUUUAUCUCUGCUGUGGCUCACACAAGGAGUGUGGGGAUGUUCUCCCUCCCCUGUGUGUGGUGCUGGCUCGUGGCACUCGUCAGGGUGUUGUUACUCUCCUGUGGCACCUCGAAAUUAAAUGAAAUUUAGAUGAUCAUGCUGGAUGUGGGGAUAUCUUAGACUGUGUUCUCUCUCCUAAUAACUUUUAGAGCCAUGAACUUCCUACUUUUUUAGGACAAAGCCCCUAAAGAAUUUGCACUCUGAGGGAGCAGAAGAGCCACGAACGACAUUAACCAUGUGGCCCUUGCAGAGAUUAAGGAUUUAGGCCGUGUAUUGCUCUGCCCACACAUCUUUAAAGCUUGGCUCAGCACUUGGGAUGGGCUCUCCAGGCUUUGGCUGUGGGGUUUGGAGCUCCUUCUGUGCACCUGGGUGACCAAACCACCUCCAGCCCGUGACACCUCUGAGGGCUGGAUCAUUUUCCAUAGGCCAGGCCUGGUGUGUGGGAGGAUGAAGUGCCACAGAGGAAGAGAAAGAUGGGGCUGAGCUCCACGGGGGUGUAAGGAGAUGAGUGGGGGGAUCAAAGGGAGUGGGGAGACAAAUCCCCAACCAGGCACACCCAUCAAUAAAACAUCCCCUCAAACAACCACGUCCUGCCAGAGCUGGAGACGAGUGAGCAGGGCAUGGAGUGAGCAGGGCCCACCUGUGCAUUUCCCAGGUGCUGAGGGUGCUUUCCCACCCUGAGGACUUGAGGAGGAGCUGGCAGCUCAGGCUGGGGGUUGCUGGUGGAUUGCCCACGGGGUUUGUGAGAGCCCUGAACAAAGACCACACACGGGAGGCUCAGGAGAGCGAUGUGUCUCAGACCUUGAGGGUACGAGGCAAGAAUGCCUCUGUGCCUGACUCACCCGCUGUGUGCUAACACUGACUCAUAAUUACUGAUCUCGAUUCAGACAAAAGAUUUAUCUGCACUGGAACAUAUGGAAAAUGCUAAUGGAACCUCGUAGUGGAAAGAGGAGGCUGGGCUGCUGCCUGGCCCUGUGUAAGGCUUGGCCAGUGCCUGAUGGACUGGGACCAGCUUCCCCACCCCAGUUUAUGUGUGGCUGGGAUGAGUCCCCAAAGCUGGAAGAGAGUCUGAUCACCCUCAUCCCUGCCCACUCUGCAGGGAAUUGUGCUUGCAAAAGGUGAAUUUUGCAGCAAGGACCAUUUUUCUGUGUCCCAGCUCAGUUUCCCUCAGCUCUGGGGAUACCCUGCUGUCCCAGGAGGUGAGUCUGGCCCUUUUUCCUUUUUCCAGCUGUGGGGAUGAAGAUGUCUGGCAGGCAGCAGCCCAUUGGCAGUGUGUUUGCACGGUGCCUGCACCCCAGCACAAUGCAGGCAGCACAGCAGGCCCGUCACGGCCAGCAGGCUCCUAAAGCCUCUCACAGAGAGCCACUCUCGGGUUUUGGUUGAUAAUUGCUGCCCUGAGAUGUGCAGGAUGUCUCUGUUUCGGUGGAGAACAAGUCUAGACUCUUCCCUUUUCGGUCUUGAGGUUGCUUAUUAAUUCUUAUCUAUAAAAUUUUCUUUCUGCCCAGCUGAGAUCUGCUCAGCAGGGCAGCCACAGGCACUCUCUGUGUUGUCCUUUUAUACUACAAACUACAUAUAUCAUAUUUACACUUAAUUCCCAAUACCUAUCACCUAUGUUAGACAGUGCACUUCUACUCUAAACCAAUCCCAAAGUGCCAACAGCACUGCAGAAAAUGGAGAACAAGAAGAAGAAGAAGAACAGAAGGCUGGACAAGCCCAAGUUCCUCCAUCUUGUCCCCAUAACCCCCACACCAAAAAUCCUAAAAUCUACAUUUUCACCCUGUGAUCAUUUUAUUAUUAUACUAUUCAAACUUCUGUGACUAUCAUGUCCUCAUACAAAGCUGGUAACUUGCUCCAAGGGUCAUAAUCAAAUCCCCAGGUGCUCUGGGCUGUGUGCCAGGGUCUCUGAGCCCCCCAAUGGGGUCCUUGGCAACUCUGGGCACCCAGAGGGAUGCACUGAGUUCUGACAAGCCACGAGCAGCCACAACCCCCAGGAGAGGGCUGGAUUAAACCCAGAACAGAGCCAGGGCUUUGUCCCAGGGUUGUGAGCCCCCAGUGAGACGGCAGAGCCCACAAACCCCUCAGCUGCUGCCUGCUGUGGUCCCAGCAGGGCAAGGCUGGCUGCCCAGGGCUGUGCCACCUCCUGCCCUGCCUGUGCCACCUUUCCCUCCCUGCUGCUCGGCGCUGCUGGAUGCUAAGUGGAAAUUUCCCCCUGUGCCAAGUGUUAAAUACUUAUCAAGCUAAUGCAGCGUCUUUGGAGGUGUGUACAAGAGACAACAUGUUACCCUAAUUAACGAGCAGCUGGGCUUGGCACCCGGCUCUGCUGCAGCUGCUCCCGGCGCCUUUCCCAGGCUCUGCCUCCUCCACACCAUGGCAGGGGCACAACCUGCAGCGGGGUCAGCGCCUCACUGGCUCCUCUCUCACUUCAGAGAGCAGGGUUUGGUUCCUAGGCUGAGAUCUGGGGGCUGUUUCUGGGCUGGGUGAGGUGCUCUGGGUCAGUGGGUCUGUUUGUAGCAGCUUAGAUAAGUUUUGGGGUGCGCUGAUUUGGAGAAUUUUAGGGGAAUUGCUGCUGGAGGAAGAUGAACCAUCAGGUUUGAGUGCUGGUUUGUCCCUCCCUGGUGGUGUGGCAGCAGCAGCUCCCUUGGUUGGCUUUGCUGUGGGAAUUGUGCUUGGGCAGGGGUGGCCAAGUGUCACUGGGGUCGGUGUGACAGCUCCAGGGAAUGGGG